GAUGAAGAACGCAGCGAAAUGCGAUAAGUAACGUGAAUUGCAGAAUUCAGUGAAUCAUCGAAUCUUUGAACGCACAUUGCGCCCGCCAGUAUUCUGGCGGGCAUGCCUGUUCGAGCGUCAUUUCAACCCUCAAGCACUGCUUGGUGUUGGGGGCCGGCGAGGUCGUCUUUCUCGACGCGCCGCCCCCGAAAUGACUUGGCGGCCCCGUCGCGGCCCUUCCUCUUGCGUAGUAGCACACACCUCGCAUCGGGAGCCCGACGGCGGCCACUGCCGUAAAACACCCAACUUUCUCAGAAGUUGACCUCGGAUCAGGUAGGAAUACCCGCUGAACUUAAGCAUAUCAAUAAGCGGAGGA
RNAcentral lists this unclassified non-coding RNA (355 nucleotides) under soil metagenome. Its description in RNAcentral is "partial contains 5.8S ribosomal RNA, internal transcribed spacer 2, and large subunit ribosomal RNA". The stretch from base 1 to 120 matches the Rfam family "5.8S ribosomal RNA", at positions 35 to 154 of the family's 154-position model. The record is from RNAcentral.